This 397-nucleotide ribosomal RNA is filed under the name uncultured bacterium. Its description in RNAcentral is "partial 16S ribosomal RNA". It matches the Rfam family "Bacterial small subunit ribosomal RNA", at positions 523 to 918 of the family's 1533-position model. The record is from RNAcentral.
AUACGUAGGGGGCGAGCGUUGUCCGGAAUGAUUGGGCGUAAAGGGCGCGUAGGCGGCCCGGUAAGUCUGGAGUGAAAGUCCUGCUUUUAAGGUGGGAAUUGCUUUGGAUACUGUCGGGCUUGAGUGCAGGAGAGGUAAGUGGAAUUCCCAGUGUAGCGGUGAAAUGCGUAGAGAUUGGGAGGAACACCAGUGGCGAAGGCGAAUUACUGGACUGUAACUGACGCUGAGGCGCGAAAGUGUGGAGAGCAAACAGGAUUAGAUACCCUGGUAGUCCACACUGUAAACGAUGAAUGCUAGGUGUAGGGGGUAUCGACCCCUUCUGUGCCGCAGUUAACACAAUAAGCAUUCCGCCUGGGGAGUACGGCCGCAAGGUUGAAACUCAAAGGAAUUGACGGGG